CCGCGUAUGGCUCAUUAUAACAGCUAAAAUUUACUUGAUUUUGACUUUUAUCCUACAUGGAUAACUGUGGUAAUUCUGGAGCUAAUACAUGCAUAAAAGAUAUAACAUUUAUAUGUUAUAUUGCGUAUAUUAGUAUUAAAACCAAGCAUUCUUCGGAAUGUUUUGUGUUGAAACUGAAUAUAUCAUGCUGAUCGUAUGGUCUUGUACCGACGACAUGUCAUUCAAGUGUCUGAUCUAUCAACUUUCUAUAUAAGUAUAUAGUACUUAUAUGGUUUUGACGGAUAACGGGGUAUUAGGGUACGACUCCGGAGAAAAUGCCUGAGAAAUCGCGAACACAUCUAAGGAAGGCAGCAGGCGCGAAAAUUACCCACUCUCAGCACGAGGAGGUAGUGACGAAAAAUAACGAGACCGUUCUCUUUCGAGGCCGGUCAUCGGAAUGGGUACAAUUUAAACCCUUUAACGAGUAUCUAUGAGAGGGCAAGUCUGGUGCCAGCAGCCGCGGUAAUUCCAGCU
Molecule: ribosomal RNA, 513 nt
Filed under: Panagrolaimus trilabiatus
Lineage: Eukaryota; Metazoa; Nematoda; Chromadorea; Rhabditida; Panagrolaimidae
Description: bacterial SSU rRNA
Rfam family: Eukaryotic small subunit ribosomal RNA
Source: RNAcentral